CACCAGUUAGCCAAGUUAUGCAAAGGAAGAGUUCUUGAAAGUGUUAACUCCAGUGAACAUGCAAACAAGAAAGUGAAACAGCCUUACUGCUGAGAUGGAGAAAGUCUGAGUGGUCUAUAUAGAUUAAACAAGCCACAACAUUCCCUUAAGCCAAAGCCUAAUUAAUUCUUCAAUUCUUUCUUCGAAGACUGAGAGGUGAGGAUGCUACAGAAGAAAAGCUGGAAGCAAGCAGAGGUUGGUUCAUGAAACUAUCCCCAUUAACGUCAGAGUGCAAGGGACAACAACAGCAGGAAGUUGUCCAGAUGAUCUAGCUAAGAUCACUGAAGGCGACUACACUAAACAACUGAGUUUGUGAAGAUGAAAUGGUCUUCUAUUAGAAGAGAUGUCAUCUAGGACUUCAUAGCUGGGGAGAAGAAGUUCAAUGCCAGCGAGUGUAGUUGGUGCCUUUAAGUUGAAGUCAGAGUUUAUUUACCAGUCCAAAAAUCUUAAGGCCCUUAAGAAUUAUGUUAAAUCUACUCUGCCUAUGCUCUAGAAGUGGAAUAACAAAGCCUAGAUGACAGCAUAUCUGUUUAUAGCAUGGUUUAUUGAAUAUUUAAGCCUAUGGUUGAGACCUGCUCAAAUUUCUUUCCAAAUAUUACUGCCCAUUACAAUGUUACCUGGUCACCUAAGAGUUCUGA
Molecule: long non-coding RNA, 677 nt
Filed under: Homo sapiens (human)
Lineage: Eukaryota; Metazoa; Chordata; Mammalia; Primates; Hominidae
Description: HSALNT0090027
Source: RNAcentral